GUUAGCGGCCACAGGAGAGGUGGCACACCCGUUCCCAUCCCGAACACGGAAGUUAAGACCUCUUACGACGUUGCUGGUACUGCCUGACGGCGGGAAAGCGCGUUGCUGCUACAC
RNAcentral lists this ribosomal RNA (114 nucleotides) under Microcaldota archaeon. Lineage: Archaea; Nanobdellati; Microcaldota. The record is from RNAcentral.